Molecule: ribosomal RNA, 1511 nt
Filed under: Triticum aestivum (bread wheat)
Lineage: Eukaryota; Viridiplantae; Streptophyta; Magnoliopsida; Poales; Poaceae
Description: partial small subunit ribosomal RNA
Source: RNAcentral
CAGAACUCUGCUGAGAAAAACACGUGAGGCCUUCUUUGGCGGCACUCUCCUCUCUAGCUUCACCAAAUCCUUUGGCAUUGAGUGAGUCCCCCUCCCCCCUCCCUCCGCAUCGCCCCGCGCGGCGACCAGAGGGCCAACCCUAAUCCCCACCGGUCCCAGCCCCCACCCUCGCUGCCGCUUGGGGGUGCGGCCGGGCGAAGCCUAGCCGCCGCUGGCAGCGGCGGGGCCUUCUUGGUCUUCCCGUUCGGGCGUGUUGGUGUGGACCGUCGCGCUGGGCCGGAGCGUGGCGCUAGAGCCGGGCGUCACGGUGGCGUGGCGGGCAGUUGCGGAGCCGCGGCGCUUCUGCUCCCCCUUGGCGGGCGGCCAGGUGGUGGGCGAGCCUUGGUCUCCAGGGACGGCGACUUCGAGGACAGAUCUGGGGCAGGCGGCGCGGGCUGCAGGUUUCUGCCCCUGCCAUGGCCGCGGCGUAUGGUGGAGCGACGCAGCUGUGGCUGGCCGGUGGCGGGGGCCGGGAUCCAGUGGCUACAGCGGCUGGACGACGGUGGGAAGCGCAGAUGGGCUCCUUGGUGAGCUUCCUUGGUGGUUAGCGGCGGCCCUUGGGAUUUCUCCUUGCCGGUGGAUAGGUGUGUGUUGGUGCCUCGCGUGGAGCUGCGUCUGCCGCCGAGGUGGGGCGACACAGGGGCUGUCCUGUGGGGAGGCAGGCUGGAGGGAUGGGAGGCGCCGCCGAGCUCGGGCCACCCGUCGCCGACAAAGGGGUGUGCCGGUCGUGGAUGCGUCCGCUCCCACUCCCCCCUUUCCCCGUCCGUGUGUGUGCUUCGGCGUUGUUCGAGGCAGGACGUAUGUUGCGGUCUCUUCAGUCGGGUGCGUCCGUUGGCCCAAAGUCGGUCACUUUGGUCGGUCUUGGGGGUGUCUGGAUGUAGGGCGGCGGGAGGCACCGCGUUCGUGGGCGGAACUUGCGUCUCGGGUGCGGGCAAGCAGCCAUGGCCACGCGGGUGGGUGGUCCCUGGUGGUUGGCGGAGGGGUGGGAGUGCUGGGGUACAUCACUUGCCCAAUCGUUGUAUUGGCCGACGGCGGCGGCGGCCGUGGACGCCGUAUCCUUCAUGAAGGCUCCGUCGCGGUGUCCCUACUCCUUCGUGAUGCUUUGGGUGAAAACACGAUCUUCAAGAUCAUAUGGUGGCGGCUAUAGCUCCAAACGGUUCUUCUUCGCUCAUUUGUAGUGGCUUUGUAUUCGUUGGGGUGGCGUGGCGGUGCUCAGCACCUUUAUAUCUUGCCUUGUGUGUGUGUGUUGUGUGCGGUGGUGGCGUGAGUUUGUAUCAUUGUGCUUGUGGGUCGGUGCUUUAUAUAUAAAGCAGGGCGAAAGCCUUUUUGGAUAAUCCUUUGGCAUCUCUUUGUUAUCAGUAUACCCUGAUGAUACCAAGCAAUGCAGCAAGCAAGAUUUGUAACUGAGUAGGUUAAAUUUAUGGACUUUAAGAAUAACAAGAAGGCUUAGGCGCUCUGCUAGAAUAGUACCU